Molecule: small nucleolar RNA, 139 nt
Filed under: Dichanthelium oligosanthes
Lineage: Eukaryota; Viridiplantae; Streptophyta; Magnoliopsida; Poales; Poaceae
Description: Small nucleolar RNA Z247
Rfam family: Small nucleolar RNA Z247
About the family: Z247 is a member of the C/D class of snoRNA which contain the C (UGAUGA) and D (CUGA) box motifs.
Source: Rfam by way of RNAcentral
CCACUGGAUGACGAUGAACUAAUGGAAUACAUCCUUGCUGGUCUUGACGAGGAAUACGAUUCUGUUGUCAAUGCGGUUCUUGCACAUGCCUAUCUGAUUACUGUAAGUGAACUUGUUUUGCAGAUGCUGUCGUUCGAGC